Molecule: ribosomal RNA, 324 nt
Filed under: uncultured eukaryote
Lineage: Eukaryota
Description: partial 18S ribosomal RNA
Rfam family: Eukaryotic small subunit ribosomal RNA
Source: RNAcentral
CCCUUAGAUGUUCUGGGCUGCACGCGCGCUACACUGAAGCUAUCAACACGUUUUCCCUCCCUGAGAAGGGCGGGUAACCUUUUGAAUCAGCUUCGUGGUAGGGAUCGGGGCUUGCAAUUGUUCCCCGUGAACCAGGAAUUCCUAGUAGACGCGAGUCAUAAGCUCGCAUCGAUUAAGUCCCUGCCCUUUGUACACACCGCCCGUCGCUACUACCGAUUGAACGUUUUAGGGAGGCAUUUGGACCGACGCAUCUCAGUUUAACCGCUGGUUUGUGUUGGAAAGACUUCCAAACUUGAGCGUUUAGAGGAAGUAAAAGUCGUAACA